AUUGAACGCUGGCGGCAGGCCUAACACAUGCAAGUCGAACGGAGUGGCGGACGGGUGAGUAAUGUCUGGGAAACUGCCUGAUGGAGGGGGAUAACUACUGGAAACGGUAGCUAAUACCGCAUACUAUCAGAUGAGCCUAGGUCGGAUUAGCUAGUUGGUGGGGUAAAGACCUACCAAGGCGACGAUCCGUAACUGGUCUGAGAGGAUGAUCAGGCCCCCUGGAACUGUGACACGGUCCAGAAUCCGACGGGAGGCAUCAGUGGGGAAUAUUGGACAAAGGGCGAAAGCCUGAUCCAGCCAUGCCGCGUGUGUGAAGAAGGUCUUCGGAUUGUAAAGCACGUUAAGUUGAGAGGCGUUACCAACAGAAUAAGCACCGACUAACUUCGUGACAGCAGCCGCGGUAAUAC
Molecule: ribosomal RNA, 407 nt
Filed under: uncultured bacterium
Lineage: Bacteria
Description: partial 16S ribosomal RNA
Rfam family: Bacterial small subunit ribosomal RNA
Source: RNAcentral